This 468-nucleotide ribosomal RNA is filed under the name uncultured bacterium. RNAcentral describes it as "partial 16S ribosomal RNA". It matches the Rfam family "Bacterial small subunit ribosomal RNA", at positions 28 to 507 of the family's 1533-position model. The record is from RNAcentral.
GACGAACGCUGGCGGCGUGCUUAACACAUGCAAGUCGAACGGAAAGGCCCUGCUUUUGUGGGGUGCUCGAGUGGCGAAAGGGUGAGUAACACGGGAGUAACCUGCCCUUGACUUUGUGAUAACUUCAGGAAACUGGGGCUAAUACCGGAUAGGAGCUCCUGCUGCAUGGUGGGGGUUGGAAAGUUUCGGCGGUUGGGGAUGGACUCGCGGCUUAUCAGCUUGUUGGUGGGGUAGUGGCUUACCAAGGCUUUGACGGGUAGCCGGCCUGAGAGGGUGACCGGCCACAUUGGGACUGAGAUACGGCCCAGACUCCUACGGGAGGCAGCAGUGGGGAAUAUUGCACAAUGGGCGGAAGCCUGAUGCAGCAACGCCGCGUGCGGGAUGACGGCCUUCGGGUUGUAAACCGCUUUCGCCUGUGACGAAGCGUGAGUGACGGUAAUGGGUAAAGAAGCACCGGCUAACUACGUG